CCUACGGGUGGCAGCAGUGAGGAAUAUUGGUCAAUGGGCGCGAGCCUGAACCAGCCAAGUAGCGUGAAGGAUGACUGCCCUACGGGUUGUAAACUUCUUUUAUAAAGGAAUAAAGUGAGGCUCGUGUGCUUUUUUGUAUGUACUUUAUGAAUAAGGAUCGGCUAACUCCGUGCCAGCAGCCGCGGUAAUACGGAGGAUCCGAGCGUUAUACGGAUUUAUUGGGUGUAAGGGGAGCGUAGAUGGGUUGUUAAGUCAGUUGUGAAAGGUUGCGGCUCAACCAUGAAAUUGCAAUUGGUACUGGCUGUCUGGAGUGCAGGUGAGGUAGGCGGAAUUCGUGGUGUAGCGGUGAAAUGCGUAGAUAUCACGAAGAACACCGAUUGCGAAGGCAGCUUACUAAACUGCCACUGACAUUGAUGCUCGAAAGUGUGGGUAUCGAACAGGAUUAGAUACCCCUGUAGUC
This 460-nucleotide ribosomal RNA is filed under the name uncultured bacterium. RNAcentral's name for it is "partial 16S ribosomal RNA". It matches the Rfam family "Bacterial small subunit ribosomal RNA", at positions 338 to 795 of the family's 1533-position model. The record is from RNAcentral.